RNAcentral lists this ribosomal RNA (332 nucleotides) under uncultured bacterium. Its description in RNAcentral is "bacterial SSU rRNA". It matches the Rfam family "Bacterial small subunit ribosomal RNA", at positions 568 to 898 of the family's 1533-position model. The record is from RNAcentral.
CGCGUAGGCGGCUUGGCAAGUCAGAUGUGAAAGCCCCGGGCUUAACUCGGGAAUUGCAUCUGAAACUGCUUUGCUUGAGUCCUGGAUGGGAUAAUGGAAUUCCCAGUGUAGCGGUGAAAUGCGUAGAUAUUGGGAGGAACACCUGCGGCGAAGGCGGCUAUCUGGACAGUGACUGACGCUGAGGCGCGAAAGCUAGGGGAGCGAACGGGAUUAGAUACCCCGGUAGUCCUAGCCGUAAACGAUGGGCACUUGGUGUUGGGGGUAUUGAGUCCCUCGGUGCCGGAGUUAACACGUUAAGUGCCCCGCCUGGGGAGUACGGUCGCAAGACUGAA